RNAcentral lists this ribosomal RNA (459 nucleotides) under uncultured bacterium. RNAcentral describes it as "partial 16S ribosomal RNA". It matches the Rfam family "Bacterial small subunit ribosomal RNA", at positions 338 to 795 of the family's 1533-position model. The record is from RNAcentral.
CCUACGGGAGGCAGCAGUGAGGAAUAUUGGUCAAUGGACGGAAGUCUGAACCAGCCAUGCCGCGUGCAGGAAGACGGCUCUAUGAGUUGUAAACUGCUUUUGUACAAGGGUAAACCUGAAUACGUGUAUUCAGCUGAAAGUACUGUACGAAUAAGGAUCGGCUAACUCCGUGCCAGCAGCCGCGGUAAUACGGAGGAUCCAAGCGUUAUCCGGAUUUAUUGGGUUUAAAGGGUGCGUAGGCGGAUUUUUAAGUCAGCGGUCAAAUCGUGGGGCUCAACCCCAUCCAGCCGUUGAAACUGGGGAUCUAGAGUGUGCGAGAGGUAUGCGGAAUUCGUGGUGUAGCGGUGAAAUGCUUAGAUAUCACGAAGAACCCCGAUUGCGAAGGCAGCCUGCCGCAGCGUUACUGACGCUGAAGCUCGAAAGCGCGGGUAUCGAACAGGAUUAGAUACCCGAGUAGUC